AUUUGCCCUCAGUAGCACAUGUGAGAAGGGAAGUUGAGGCUUAGAGAUAUGGCUCAGUCAGAGGGCCCAGGGGCACACGAUCUCCACGUUAGCCCUGUCUACUCCUGCCACACUGCCCACAGAGGGCUCAGGAGACCCAUGCUCCAACCUCCUGUAAACUAAAGCAACAGAUGGCAAGCUAGAACUUCCCCAUCAGCCUGGAAAGUUCCUAACAACUUAAUAUUGGGUGAUAGUAGGAAAGUGGAUGAUGGACAUGCCUGAAAAGUGGCUCAGCAGGUGGAGGUGCUUGCUGCCAACCCCGAGGACCUGAGUUUGAGUCCCAGAAUCCACAUGGUGGAAAGAUUCCUGCACAAUGUCCUCUGUCCUCCACACAUGCUCCAUUACAGGUGCUCUGCCUUCCGUGCUCACAGAGAUAAAUGGAUCAAUGUAAUAAAAAUUUUAGAACAA
Non-coding RNA from Myodes glareolus (Bank vole), 447 nucleotides. NCBI's taxonomy places the organism in Eukaryota, Metazoa, Chordata, Mammalia, Rodentia, Cricetidae. The record is from RefSeq and is a predicted model, not a curated record.